AUGCAAACUUUCAAAGAGAGGGUUUAAUAUGCCAUCUUUCACGGCAAUCCAAAAAGACAGGGAAAUAACAAUACUAUUGAAUAUGGCUAACCUUCAGUUCAAUGUCUGUCUCUAAUUUUUAAAAAAAAUUAUGUCGUGGCUAAAUUUUUCUAAUAUUCAAGCCGAGACUAAGCAGUUUACUUAUACUGAUAAUGUUAUUUUUCAGCUAUUACAAGCACUUAGUUAAAAGAUCAACUAAGGCAUCCUUAAAAAGUUUUAAUACUUAUUGUGCAGAUUUCUUAAACUUACAGGACUGGAAACCGUGGUCCAGUUUAAUAUUUUAAACAUAAAUCUUUAUGGUUUUAUUUUUUACCAGGUGGCUAUAACAGAGAGGAAUGUCUUCGAACAGUCGAAUGCUAUGAUCCACAUACAGAUCACUGGUCCUUUCUUGCUCCCAUGAGAACACCAAGAGCCCGAUUUCAAAUGGCUGUACUCAUGGGCCAGCUCUAUGUGGUAGGUGGAUCGAAUGGCCACUCAGAUGACCUGAGUUGUGGAGAGAUGUAUGACUCAAACAUAGAUGACUGGAUUCCUGUUCCAGAAUUGAGAACUAACCGUUGUAAUGCAGGAGUGUGUGCUCUGAAUGGAAAAUUAUACAUCGU
RNAcentral lists this small RNA (638 nucleotides) under Pongo abelii (Sumatran orangutan). RNAcentral's name for it is "retained intron". Lineage: Eukaryota; Metazoa; Chordata; Mammalia; Primates; Hominidae. The record is from RNAcentral.